UUGAAUAGAGAUACAGCAGCAACAAGCAGAG
Molecule: non-coding RNA, 31 nt
Filed under: Rattus norvegicus (Norway rat)
Lineage: Eukaryota; Metazoa; Chordata; Mammalia; Rodentia; Muridae
Source: RNAcentral